GCCUGGUUGGCUUAGUCAGUACAGCAUAGGACUCUUGAUCUCAGGGUCGUGAGUUCAAGCCCCAUGUUGGGCA
RNAcentral lists this transfer RNA (73 nucleotides) under Felis catus (domestic cat). It matches the Rfam family "tRNA". From Rfam's summary of the family: Transfer RNA (tRNA) molecules are approximately 80 nucleotides in length. Their secondary structure includes four short double-helical elements and three loops (D, anti-codon, and T loops). Further hydrogen bonds mediate the characteristic L-shaped molecular structure. tRNAs have two regions of fundamental functional importance: the anti-codon, which is responsible for specific mRNA codon recognition, and the 3' end, to which the tRNAs corresponding amino acid is attached (by aminoacyl-tRNA synthetases). tRNAs cope with the degeneracy of the genetic code in two manners: having more than one tRNA (with a specific anti-codon) for a particular amino acid; and 'wobble' base-pairing, i.e. permitting non-standard base-pairing at the 3rd anti-codon position. The record is from Rfam by way of RNAcentral. Lineage: Eukaryota; Metazoa; Chordata; Mammalia; Carnivora; Felidae.